GGGCCCGUAGCUCAACCGGUUAGAGCAGCGGACUCAUAAUCCGUUGGUUGCAGGUUCGAGUCCUGCCGGGCCCA
RNAcentral lists this transfer RNA (74 nucleotides) under bacterium. RNAcentral describes it as "tRNA-Ile". It matches the Rfam family "tRNA". Rfam says of the family: Transfer RNA (tRNA) molecules are approximately 80 nucleotides in length. Their secondary structure includes four short double-helical elements and three loops (D, anti-codon, and T loops). The record is from RNAcentral. RNAcentral also lists the same sequence under 1 other name.